RNAcentral lists this ribosomal RNA (529 nucleotides) under uncultured bacterium. RNAcentral describes it as "bacterial SSU rRNA". It matches the Rfam family "Bacterial small subunit ribosomal RNA", at positions 777 to 1301 of the family's 1533-position model. The record is from RNAcentral.
AAUAGAUACCCAGGUAGUCCACGCCGUAAACGAUGAGUGCUAAGUGUUAGAGGGUUUCCGCCCUUUAGUGCUGCAGCUAACGCAUUAAGCACUCCGCCUGGGGAGUACGGCCGCAAGGCUGAAACUCAAAGGAAUUGACGGGGGCCCGCACAAGCGGUGGAGCAUGUGGUUUAAUUCGAAGCAACGCGAAGAACCUUACCAGGUCUUGACAUCCUCUGCCAACCCUAGAGAUAGGGCGUUCCCCCUUCGGGGGACAGAGUGACAGGUGGUGCAUGGUUGUCGUCAGCUCGUGUCGUGAGAUGUUGGGUUAAGUCCCGCAACGAGCGCAACCCUUGAUCUUAGUUGCCAGCAUUCAGUUGGGCACUCUAAGGUGACUGCCGGUGACAAACCGGAGGAAGGUGGGGAUGACGUCAAAUCAUCAUGCCCCUUAUGACCUGGGCUACACACGUGCUACAAUGGAUGGUACAAAGAGCUGCGAACCCGCGAGGGUAAGCGAAUCUCAUAAAACGCCAUUCUCAGUUCGGAUUGU